CUUAUCCUCUGGUAUUGGUCCUUGAUAUCAGCGUCGGGACCACGACGACUUUCCAGUGACUGAGGGGAGAGGCUGGAGCCUCAGGUCUGUAUGGAGCCCUUUGGGGCAUCUCUGUUGGCUCACUGGUAAAGAAUCUCCUGCCAAUGAAAGAAACGCAGAUUUGACCCCUGGAUCGGGAAGAUGCCCUAGAGAAGGAAAUGGCAACCCGCUCCAGUAUUCUUGCCUGGGUAAUCCCAUGGACAAAGGAGCCUGGCGGGCUUAAGUCCAUCGGAUCACAGAAGAAUCGGACAUGACUGAGCAACUAAAGAACAACAAUGGAGCUCUUUGGGGGCAAGGGGUGUUAACAUUUCUGCACAUUAAGGGCAACCUAUGAUCCAGGUUGGACAAUCUCCAGGCUACUAAGUACCCAGGACAUGUUACAGGAUGAUCUAAGGGUCUGCACUGUGACAAGGAGCAAUUUGAUGUCUACUCAUCACAGAAGGACCUCAGCUUCCCGAUCAGGGAUUGAACACACAUCCCCUGCAUUGGACCUUAUGGGGCAGCAGCUUCUUAGUGCCACGUCCUCCUCUCACCACAGGUCCUAUCCUCGCUGUUACCUUCUGAAGCUGUGGUUUUGACGUCAGAGGUACUGGCUGCACCGCUGAGUGGCCGUGGGCUCUUAUCCUACUCCUUUUGCUUUGUCACUUAUUUGUAAGGAUUUUUUUCUCGGCCUGUGUAG
Long non-coding RNA from Bos taurus (domestic cattle), 718 nucleotides. The record is from Ensembl. NCBI's taxonomy places the organism in Eukaryota, Metazoa, Chordata, Mammalia, Artiodactyla, Bovidae.